GGUUAAGCGACUAAGCGUACACGGUGGAUGCCCUGGCAGUCAGAGGCGAUGAAGGGCGUGCUAAUCUGCGAUAAGCGCCGGUAAGGUGAUAUGAACCGUUAUAACCGGCGAUACCCGAAUGGGGAAACCCAGUGUGAUUCGUCACACUAUCAUUAACUGAAUCCAUAGGUUAAUGAGGCGAACCGGGGGAACUGAAACAUCUAAGUACCCCGAGGAAAAGAAAUCAACCGAGAUUCCCCCAGUAGCGGCGAGCGAACGGGGAGGAGCCCAGAGCCUGAAUCAGCAUGUGUGUUAGUGGAAGCGUCUGGAAAGGCGUGCGAUACAGGGUGACAGCCCCGUACACAAAAGCGCAUGUGCUGUGAGCUCGAUGAGUAGGGCGGGACACGUGGUAUCCUGUCUGAAUAUGGGGGGACCAUCCUCCAAGGCUAAAUACUCCUGACUGACCGAUAGUGAACCAGUACCGUGAGGGAAAGGCGAAAAGAACCCCGGCGAGGGGAGUGAAAAAGAACCUGAAACCGUGUACGUACAAGCAGUGGGAGCCCCACCACUAAGCCAGUGGUGAACUCCACAUACGCAUCCUUUGCUGAGGAUACGGUUAACGGAGCACAAGCGACGUUCAACCUCAAAAGAAGCAGAGGGGGCUUAGUGGUGGGGUGACUGCGUACCUUUUGUAUAAUGGGUCAGCGACUUAUAUUCUGUAGCAAGGUUAACCGUAUAGGGGAGCCG
This 726-nucleotide ribosomal RNA is filed under the name Salmonella enterica. Its description in RNAcentral is "partial 23S ribosomal RNA". It matches the Rfam family "Bacterial large subunit ribosomal RNA", at positions 1 to 668 of the family's 2925-position model. Lineage: Bacteria; Pseudomonadati; Pseudomonadota; Gammaproteobacteria; Enterobacterales; Enterobacteriaceae. The record is from RNAcentral.